GCCAGAAGGUGUUAUCCUGACUGCCAGGGGAGAAUUGUUGACAGUCCUGCUGUUACUGACCCUGUAUGCUACACUACCAAUAUGCCAGGGGAAGACCGAGUCCGCUGUGGGUGGUGCCACUCCUGGUCUGAGUGGCAUAAGGAAGUACUCUGUGAGGAUCAACCCAGUAAGCAGCGUGCUUCUGUGGCUUCUGCUUCAGUUCCUGCCUCCAGGGUCCUGCCUUGAGUCCCUGCCUUGGCUUCCCCCAGUGGUGAAGUGUGACCUGAGGGCUAUAAGACAAAAUAAACCCUUUCCUUCAUAAA
Molecule: long non-coding RNA, 302 nt
Organism: Mesocricetus auratus (golden hamster)
Lineage: Eukaryota; Metazoa; Chordata; Mammalia; Rodentia; Cricetidae
Exons: 2
Source: RefSeq, a predicted model, not a curated record